Molecule: small nucleolar RNA, 185 nt
Filed under: Penicillium coprophilum
Lineage: Eukaryota; Fungi; Ascomycota; Eurotiomycetes; Eurotiales; Aspergillaceae
Source: RNAcentral
AUGUCUCUUGCCUCGCUCGGUCUGCCGCUUCCCCUCGGCUAAUCUUGAGCUGGAUGCAACCGGUCACUUUUAGUGUUGGUUGUAUGAGACAAGAAGAAGCGUGAAAACGCCUCGACGAUCUUUGAGUACGAUUUGAUCCGAAAUGCACCACGGGUCUACGUCGUAAUUUAUCAGUUGGGACAACC